RNAcentral lists this long non-coding RNA (384 nucleotides) under Hordeum vulgare. RNAcentral's name for it is "long non-coding RNA (HVUL_LNC021084)". The record is from RNAcentral. Lineage: Eukaryota; Viridiplantae; Streptophyta; Magnoliopsida; Poales; Poaceae.
UAUAAUAAUAACCACUUUAUUAUUGCCUCUAGGGCAUAUUUCCAAAAUCAGUGAUGGGCUCUCAUGCACUCGGCCCUCCUGUCCUAGUGGAAGGCCCUCCAUGCUUGAUCCUCCGAGCGUCUCGGCGGUCAUGAACACCACCAAAGCGACCUUGUCCUUCACCGUGAGAUCAGCCACGACUCUGGUCACCUUGACCACACAUCCCUUCGAUGUUCUGGAGGAAUUAUUUUUGCUGGAGCUGCCGAACAGACAAUUUCUCUUACUUGCCCCUACUCCCUUCCAGUACGCUUCUCCACUGAGAUUCUUAGCAAUAGAUGCUACUCUCUUUUCUUUUGGUAUAUUAGAAUAGCGCCCAAAAGUAUGGCCAACAAUCCCACAACACUC